CAAUAGCGUAUAUUAAAGUUGUUGCGGUUAAAAAGCUCGUAGUUGGAUUUCUGCUGAGAACGACCGGUCCGCCCUUUGGGUGUGUAUCUGGCUCUUUCUUGGCAUCUUCUUGGUGAACGUUGCUGCACUUGACUGUGUGGAGCGCUACCCAGGACUUUUACUUUGAGGAAAUUAGAGUGUUUCAAGCAGGCAUACGCCUUGAAUACAUUAGCAUGGAAUAAUAAGACAGGACCUCGGUUCUAUUUUGUUGGUUUCUAGAGCUGAGGUAAUGAUUAAUAGGGAUAGUUGGGGGCAUUCGUAUUUAACUGUCAGAGGUGAAAUUCUUGGAUUUGUUAAAGACGGACUACUGCGAANGNAUUUGCNAAGGAUGUUUNCAUUG
This 379-nucleotide ribosomal RNA is filed under the name uncultured eukaryote. RNAcentral describes it as "partial 18S ribosomal RNA". It matches the Rfam family "Eukaryotic small subunit ribosomal RNA", at positions 592 to 975 of the family's 1831-position model. The record is from RNAcentral.